GACGAACGCUGGCGGCGUGCUUAACACAUGCAAGUCGAACGGAAAGACCCUGAUUUUGUUGGGUGCUCGAGUGGCGAACGGGUGAGUAACACGUGAGUAACCUGCCCUUGACUUUGGGAUAACUUCAGGGAACUGGGGCUAAUACCGGAUAGGAGCUCCUGCUGCAUGGUGGUGGUUGGAAAGUUUCGGCGGUUGGGGAUGGACUCGCGGCUUAUCAGCUUGUUGGUGGGGUAGUUGCUUACCAAGGCUUUGACGGGUAGCCGGCCUGAGAGGGUGACCGGCCACAUUGGGACUGAGAGACGGACCAGACUGCUACGGGAGGCAGCAGUGGAGAAUAUUGCACAAUGGGCGGAAGCCUGAUGCAGCAACGCCGCGUGCGGGAUGACGGGCUUCGGGUGGUAAACCGCUGUCGCCUGUGACGAGGCGUGAGUGACGGUAAUGGGUAAAGAAGCACCGGCUAACUACGUG
This 468-nucleotide ribosomal RNA is filed under the name uncultured bacterium. Its description in RNAcentral is "partial 16S ribosomal RNA". It matches the Rfam family "Bacterial small subunit ribosomal RNA", at positions 28 to 507 of the family's 1533-position model. The record is from RNAcentral.